Molecule: ribosomal RNA, 263 nt
Filed under: Acinetobacter baumannii
Lineage: Bacteria; Pseudomonadati; Pseudomonadota; Gammaproteobacteria; Moraxellales; Moraxellaceae
Description: partial 23S ribosomal RNA
Rfam family: Bacterial large subunit ribosomal RNA
Source: RNAcentral
GUUGUAUAGUCAAGUAAUUAAGUGCAUGUGGUGGAUGCCUUGGCAGUCAGAGGCGAUGAAAGACGUGAUAGCCUGCGAAAAGCUCCGGGGAGGCGGCAAAUAUCCUUUGAUCCGGAGAUGUCUGAAUGGGGGAACCCACCUACUUUAAGGUAGGUAUUGCAACAUGAAUACAUAGUGUUGCAAGGCGAACGAGGGGAAGUGAAACAUCUCAGUACCCUUAGGAAAAGAAAUCAAUUGAGAUUCCCUCAGUAGCGGCGAGCGAA